RNAcentral lists this non-coding RNA (591 nucleotides) under Scleropages formosus (Asian bonytongue). RNAcentral describes it as "Eukaryotic large subunit ribosomal RNA". It matches the Rfam family "Eukaryotic large subunit ribosomal RNA", at positions 161 to 659 of the family's 3401-position model. The record is from Rfam by way of RNAcentral. Lineage: Eukaryota; Metazoa; Chordata; Actinopteri; Osteoglossiformes; Osteoglossidae.
CCCGCAGAACCACAAAACCGCAAUUGUUAAGAGGUAAACGGGUAGGGUCCACGGCCCUUGGACGGUUUGAGGCCGGUAGUGGCCCCCGUCACACAGUGGCGCGGUCUUCCCGGAGUCGGAUUGCUUGGGAAUGCAGGCCAAAGCGGAUGGUCAACUCCAUCUACGGCGGAAUACCGGCACAACGACAAGUACCAUAAUGGACAGUUGAAAAGAACUUUGAAGAGAGGGUUCAAGAGGGCGUGAAACCGAAAAAAUACAACAAAGCCCUACUACACAAUGCAACAGUCAUACAGAUUGAUUUUUUUAAAAUAUUAUCCUUAUUGUUUACAUAACACAGGUAUUUCUUGAUUUAAACAAAUCAGUCCUGAAAACAGUGAGGAUAUCAAAAUUUGAUACCGAAAGCCUAUUACUCAUUACUUUAAACUGGAAAAAUAUUAAUGCGUUCCCAGCCCACCAGAAAACCCCAAUCUUCACCAAAUAUUACGAGAAGACUGUAAAACACCAAUGUUGUAAAACCCACGAUUUCAGCACCGUUUUAAACACAUUUGCAUUUACAUUUGUUUAUUAACGGAUACUUCUCGUAUCUCAGAA